Erpetoichthys calabaricus (reedfish) is the source of this 136-nucleotide long non-coding RNA. RefSeq lists it as uncharacterized. Lineage: Eukaryota; Metazoa; Chordata; Cladistia; Polypteriformes; Polypteridae. The transcript is spliced from 3 exons. The record is from RefSeq and is a predicted model, not a curated record.
GUUCCUUUCCUUAUUUGCACUUGUUUGUUGGUCAAAAUUUGGAGGGCUCUUCAUGAAAGAGAAGCGUCUCUGCACUGAGGUGAUCUGAGCUAUGAAAAGGCCCUUGAAAUCAUUACUGCUUCAUGUGUGGAACAUA